UGAGGAAUAUUGCACAAUGGGCGCAAGCCUGAUGCAGCAACGCCGCGUGCGGGACGAAGGCCUUCGGGUCGUAAACCGCCUUUCUGGGGAAAGAGCAAGGACGGUACCUCAGGAAUAAGUCUCGGCUAACUACGUGCCAGCAGCCGCGGUAAAACGUAGGAGGCGAGCGUUAUCCGGAUUUACUGGGCGUAAAGCGCACGCAGGCGGCUCUGUGAGUCGGACGUGAAAGCUCCCGGCUUAACCGGGAGAGGCCGUUCGAUACUGCGGGGCGUGAAGUAGGGAGAGGAAUGCGGAAUUCCCGGUGUAGUGGUGGAAUGCGUAGAUAUCGGGAGGAACACCAGUGGCGAAAGCGGCAUUCUGGCGCUCACCUGACGCUGAGGUGCGAAAGCGUGGGUAGCAAACAG
Molecule: ribosomal RNA, 404 nt
Filed under: uncultured bacterium
Lineage: Bacteria
Description: bacterial SSU rRNA
Rfam family: Bacterial small subunit ribosomal RNA
Source: RNAcentral